UCGAGAAUCUUCCGCAAUGGGCGAAAGCCUGACGGAGCGACACCGCGUGCAGGACGAAGGCCCUCGGGUUGUAAACUGCUGUCACGCUCUAGGAAUGCCAUGUCGUUAAUAGCGGCAUGGUUGACCAAGGCGAAAGGAAGUGGCGGCUAACUCUGUGCCAGCAGCCGCGGUAAGACAGAGGCCACGAACGUUGUUCGGAAUCACUGGGCAUAAAGCGCACGUAGGCGGCUAGGUCCGUCCAAUGUGAAAGCCCCCGGCUCAACCGGGGAAUUGCAUCGGAUACAGCCUGGCUUGAGGACGGUUGGGGUGAGUGGAACUCCUGGUGGAGCGGUGAAAUGCGUAGAUAUCAGGAGGAACACCGGUGGCGAAAGCGGCUCACUGGACCGUAACUGACGCUGAGGUGCGAAAGCUAGGGGAGCAAACGGGAUUAGAUACCCCCGUAGUCCCUGAGCGGGCUGGCAAGGCGCAU
RNAcentral lists this ribosomal RNA (469 nucleotides) under uncultured bacterium. RNAcentral's name for it is "bacterial SSU rRNA". It matches the Rfam family "Bacterial small subunit ribosomal RNA", at positions 355 to 825 of the family's 1533-position model. The record is from RNAcentral.